RNAcentral lists this ribosomal RNA (743 nucleotides) under uncultured bacterium. Its description in RNAcentral is "bacterial SSU rRNA". It matches the Rfam family "Bacterial small subunit ribosomal RNA", at positions 651 to 1395 of the family's 1533-position model. The record is from RNAcentral.
UCAGAGGGGGGUAGAAUNCCACGUGUAGCAGUGAAAUGCGUAGAGAUGUGGAGGAAUACCGAUGGCGAAGGCAGCCUCCUGGGAUAAUACUGACGUUCAUGCUCGAAAGCGUGGGUAGCAAACAGGAUUAGAUACCNUGGUAGUCCACGCCCUAAACGAUGUCGAUUAGCUGUUGGGCAGCUUGACUGCUUAGUAGCGUAGCUAACGCGUGAAAUCGACCGCCUGGGGAGUACGGUCGCAAGAUUAAAACUCGAAGGAAUUGACGGGGACCCGCACAAGCGGUGGAUGAUGUGGAUUAAUUCGAUGCAACGCGAAGAACCUUACCUGGUCUUGACAUGUACGGAACCUUCCAGAGACGGAAGGGUGCCUUCGGGAGCCGUAACACAGGUGCUGCAUGGCUGUCGUCAGCUCGUGUCGUGAGAUGUUGGGUUUAGUCCCGCAACGAGCGCAACCCUUGUCAUUAGUUGCCAUCAUUCAGUUGGGCACUCUAAUGAGACUGCCGGUGACAAACCGGAGGAAGGUGGGGAUGACGUCAAGUCCUCAUGGCCCUUAUGACCAGGGCUUCACACGUCAUACAAUGGUCAGUACAAAGGGUAGCCAAGCCGCGAGGCGGAGCCAAUCUCAUAAAACCGAUCGUAGUCCGGAUUGCACUCUGCAACUCGAGUGCAUGAAGUCGGAAUCGCUAGUAAUCGCAGGUCAGCAUACUGCGGUGAAUACGUUCCCGGGUCUUGUACACACCGCCC